Molecule: ribosomal RNA, 230 nt
Filed under: uncultured Alicycliphilus sp.
Lineage: Bacteria; Pseudomonadati; Pseudomonadota; Betaproteobacteria; Burkholderiales; Comamonadaceae
Description: partial 16S ribosomal RNA
Rfam family: Bacterial small subunit ribosomal RNA
Source: RNAcentral
AGAGAUGCAUUGGGUUUAAAGCGUGCGCAGGCGGUUUUGUAAGACAGAGGUGAAAUCCCCGGGCUCAACCUGGGAACUGCCUUUGUGACUGCAAGGCUGGAGUGCGGCAGAGGGGGAUGGAAUUCCGCGUGUAGCAGUGAAAUGCGUAGAUAUGCGGAGGAACACCGAUGGCGAAGGCAAUCCCCUGGGCCUGCACUGACGCUCAUGCACGAAAGCGUGGGGAGCAAACA